Molecule: ribosomal RNA, 506 nt
Filed under: fungal sp. E14531D
Lineage: Eukaryota; Fungi
Description: eukaryotic LSU rRNA
Rfam family: 5.8S ribosomal RNA (bases 145-298)
Source: RNAcentral
ACUGAGUUGCAAAACUCCAACCCGUGGGAACCUUACCUUUUAUGUUGCUUCGGCGGAGGAAGGCCCCCAGGGGCCCGAGCCCGCCGGAGGUUCCAAACUCUUGUUUCAUCAGUGAAUCUCUGAGAAUAAAAAACAAAUAAUUAAAACUUUCAACAACGGAUCUCUUGGUUCUGGCAUCGAUGAAGAACGCAGCGAAAUGCGAUAAGUAAUGUGAAUUGCAGAAUUCAGUGAAUCAUCGAAUCUUUGAACGCACAUUGCGCCCGCCGGUAUUCCGGCGGGCAUGCCUGUUCGAGCGUCAUUUCACCACUCAAGCACAGCUUGGUUUUGGGGCGCCCGGGUCUCUUUCAUUAGAGCCCGGGGCCCCCAAGUACAUCGGCGGGCUCGUCGGAACUCUGAGCGCAGUAACUCGCGGUAAAACGCGUCCUCGUUCGGCAGGCUUCGGCGGGUUCUUGCCGCUAAACCCCCUAAUUUUCUUAGGUUGACCUCGGAUCAGGUAGGAAUACCCG